UUGAACGCUGGCGGCAUGCCUUACACAUGCAAGUCGAACGGCAGCACGGGGCAACCUGGUGGCGAGUGGCGAACGGGUGAGUAAUAUAUCGGAACAUGCCCUAGAGUGGGGGAUAACGUAGCGAAAGUCACGCUAAUACCGCAUACGAACUAAGGUUGAAAGUGGGGGAUCGCAAGACCUCAUGCUCAUGGAGUGGCCGAUAUCUGAUUAGCUAGUUGGUGAGGUAAAGGCUCACCAAGGCGACGAUCCGUAGCUGGUCUGAGAGGACGACCAGCCACACUGGAACUGAGACACGGUCCAGACUCCUACGGGAGGCAGCAGUGGGGAAUUUUGGACAAUGGGGGAAACCCUGAUCCAGCCAUGCCGCGUGAGUGAAGAAGGCCUUCGGGUUGUAAAGCUCUUUCGGCAGGAACGAAACGGUAAGGGCUAAUAUCCUUUGCUAAUGACGGUACCUGAAGAAGAAGCACCGGCUAACUACGU
RNAcentral lists this ribosomal RNA (480 nucleotides) under uncultured bacterium. RNAcentral's name for it is "bacterial SSU rRNA". It matches the Rfam family "Bacterial small subunit ribosomal RNA", at positions 30 to 506 of the family's 1533-position model. The record is from RNAcentral.